Molecule: ribosomal RNA, 986 nt
Filed under: Lecidella yunnanensis
Lineage: Eukaryota; Fungi; Ascomycota; Lecanoromycetes; Lecanorales; Lecanoraceae
Description: partial large subunit ribosomal RNA
Rfam family: Eukaryotic large subunit ribosomal RNA
Source: RNAcentral
UCCAUUUGAAAUCUGGCCCUUCCGGGGUCCGAGUUGUAAUUUGUACAGGACGUUUCGGGUGCGGCGCCGGUCUAAGUCCCUUGGAACAGGGCGUCAUAGAGGGUGAGAAUCCCGUAUGUGACCGGCGACCAACCCCAUGUGAAACCCCUUCGACGAGUCGAGUUGUUUGGGAAUGCAGCUCAAAAUGGGUGGUAAAUUUCAUCUAAAGCUAAAUACUGGCCAGAGACCGAUAGCGCACAAGUAGAGUGAUCGAAAGAUGAAAAGCACUUUGGAAAGAGAGUCAAACAGUACGUGAAAUUGUUGAAAGGGAAGCGCUUGCAACCAGACCUGUCCGCGGGCAUCAGCCUCCGUUCUCGGUGGUGUACUUGUCCGCGAUCAGGCCAGCAUCGGUUCGGGCGGUCGGAUAAAGGCUUCGGGAAUGUAGCUUCCUCCGGGGAGUCUUAUAGCCCGUUGCGCAAUGCGGCCAGCCUGGACCGAGGACCGCGCUUCGGCUAGGAUGCUGGCGUAAUGGUUGUAAGCGACCCGUCUUGAAACACGGACCAAGGAGUUGAAUAUCUAUGCGAGUGUUUGGGUGUCAAACCCAUACGCGUAAUGAAAGUGAACGGAGGUGAGAACCCUUUAGGGCGCAUCAUCGACCGAUCCAGAUGUCUUCGGAUGGAUUUGAGUACGAGCAUAGCUGUUCUGACCCGAAAGAUGGUGAACUAUACUUGAAUAGGGUGAAGCCAGAGGAAACUCUGGUGGAGGCUCGCAGCGGUUCUGACGUGCAAAUCGAUCGUCAAAUUUGGGUAUAGGGGCGAAAGACUAAUCGAACCAUUGGUGACGGGCGCUACUAGGUGGUUAAUUUGGGGUAACCUUCCGGGGUCCCCUGAGUCCUUCGGGGCGACACUGCUAUCUGCGUGGACGCCCGGGGUGUCCCCCCGGGCCGACAUGCUGCGGGCCUGACUCCUCUGAGCGGGCGCCGUACACAGACCAAAUGGUGGUGGCCG